This 468-nucleotide ribosomal RNA is filed under the name uncultured bacterium. RNAcentral's name for it is "partial 16S ribosomal RNA". It matches the Rfam family "Bacterial small subunit ribosomal RNA", at positions 28 to 507 of the family's 1533-position model. The record is from RNAcentral.
GACGAACGCUGGCGGCGUGCUUAACACAUGCAAGUCGAACGGAAAGGCCCUGCUUUUGUGGGGUGCUCGAGUGGCGAACGGGUGAGUAACACGUGAGUAACCUGCCCUUGACUUUGGGAUAACUUCAGGAAACUGGGGCUAAUACCGGAUAGGAGCUCCUGCUGCACGGUGGGGGUUGGAAAGUUUCGGCGGUUGGGGAUGGACUCGCGGCUUAUCAGCUUGUUGGUGGGGUAGUGGCUUACCAAGGCUUUGACGGGUAGCCGGCCUGAGAGGGUGACCGGCCACAUUGGGACUGAGAUACGGCCCAGACUCCUACGGGAGACAGCAGUGGGGAAUAUUGCACAAUGGGCGGAAGCCUGAUGCAGCAACGCCGCGUGCGGGAUGACGGCCUUCGGGUUGUAAACCGCUUUCGCCUGUGACGAAGCGUGAGUGACGGUAAUGGGUAAAGAAGCACCGGCUAACUACGUG